GACGACACUGAAAUCUUAUCGAACUCUCCAGUCUCCCUGGAGAAAGCUGUCGUGGAGUCGCCGGCAGCUUUUGGAGACGCAAAGGGACUGUCGGGGAGGUUGUGCUCCAAACUACAUUCAAAUCAAUAAAGAAACUUAAUCAUUCAGAGCAAUAGAACAUGACACCAAAUAAAUAGAUGAAUUAGAGGUCACACAUCAACAUUUAAUAUGCAUUCAACUAACACACUUGAAUGCUAAUUUCAGGACAUUACUGGUAAUAAUGAGUUUCGAAUCAAGAUAAGAAACACAGAAAACAAGGAGAGGUCCAGUACCUUCCUUUCAAAUCACUUUCUUUGUUGGGAUUUUCUGCGUCUUUGGUCGUUUCAUCCUUGAGAGAAGAAGAUUGUUUCUCUGUAUCAGUAACAUUCACUGGAUUUUUCACAGCCGAAAUUGAACUAUUUUCUGUAACAGCAUAAUUCCAAAUGCAAAAGUCUUUAUCCCAUCUUUCGACAACCAUGAAACACAAUGUCUAAUGAAAACUGAAAUAAAUAAAAAUGGCACCUUCUUUAGAUUCCAGGCUACCGCGAUCACCCGAUAGGACGACAUUUUGAUUGAAAAAACUCGGAGACUGUGUUGGGGAUGAAAGAAUGCCACCGGUAGAGAGUGUUCGGUGGUGGCUAUUCCUCUUGAUGUCAAGUUGUAGACCCAUAAGUCUCCUAUUUUGGAGCUCAAUUGCUUGCUGCAAAUCUGCUUGCUCCUCUAGUUUUCUUCUCCAUAACAUGUCGGGAUUGUUGUAGAACAUCCCUGCGCCUAAAGCCAAAAAGAAAAUACCAUUUUAAUCAAACAUGAAUUAGGAACGUCCUUUUUUCUUUUAGAAACCAACUGAAGUGAAGGCAUGAAGCAUUGCUGUUUACUUCAAGAAACCAAGAAAUCGUUGGUGCACGAUGCAAGGGAUGAGUAUUUACUUACCGAGCUGAAGAUCAUAAGAAUCUUUCGACUCCAGCCCGGUAGGGCUACUAUAUCCCGUGUACUCUCCCCUCUCCAUCUGAGGCUGUUUCCUGUAAGUGUCAUCAAAUUUAACAUUAAUAAUACAUAAGAUAAUUGGUCUACCACCCAGAAAGGCUUAUAGAGGGACUAACCUGUGUUUGUCGGGGAUUUUGCCUUUCUCCUUGUAUGGUUUGACGAGUACACGAGCAUCACAUACAUAGUGGGGAUUGCCCUUUGCAAGAAUGAGCUUUACAGUCUCCGGAUAAACAAAUGUGACAAAACCAAACAUCCGUUUCUGUUGAUACGGAAUCCUCACAUCUUGAACUGGCCCGUAAAUACUUCAAGAUGAAGCAAAUUAUUUAAUAAACUCAAUUCCAUCAGCUAAAGAAAGGUAUAAAUAACCUCAUUCAAGCUCAGGAAGAAAUUCAUGCACCUGAAAUAAUUGGACACAUCUUCCUCCUUGAAAGUACUAUCAGCUGGAAAUGUCAAGUAAAUUUGCCUCGAACCAGGAUUCAUCAUACCAAAAUCACCUCUUUCGAGCCGAGACCGACUAAAUUUGUGCAUAUCAUCACCCAAAAAGGCUCUACAAGUUCAAAUCCAAAAUUAUUAACUUCAACAAAAUUAUGAACCCAAUAAAAAGGUCAAGUAAAGAUGUUCAUGCCUUGGACUCUCAGCUUGCAGUUGCUCUUCAAAUAUUAUAAUCUUGGAUUUUCUUGAAUCUGGAUCUAAACGAGUUAAAGAAAGAUUUUGGAUUUAUAAUUUUCUUUUUUGGAUUAUACAAUGGGAAAUAGCCAUCAAUACUGAGAUGAGGGAAGAAAAUACAGACCCUGAAAUUUACUUACUUACUUCUACACAUUGAUAUUUCUUUGAUUUCACUGAAACUAUUUCCUUUUUCUACCUGUUGUCCAGCAACUUUCUUCAACUACAGAAAUGAAAAGAGAAAUGGAUGGCUGUCUCUCAAUCUGUCCCACUUUCUUUACUGCCUUUUAAUGUAUGCCUUUUAAUUUAAUGUAUGAUAGUAAGUAGGUAUAGUAUUUCUAACUAAUGCUGCCUGUCACACUGACUUGGAAUUUGAUUUAGCAGAUCAAAUCAAUCUUCAUCCUGUAGAAAGAUUCAACACAAAAUGCAAACCCACCUCAGGAAAUGAACAAGUAUCAAGAUAAAAGUACUAAGCAAAACCAUAAAAAUUAAUUAAGCAGAAGCUUAUAAUUAAGGGACAACAAAUUAUUUUGUUUACUUACCUCCAUUAAGGAAGCUAAAAAGCAAGACAAGAUUCUAGGCCUACAUUCCAAUGGCCUCGUGACCAGAAGCAAACCUGCAUUAUUCAUUUAGGUAGUUGCUUGUAUGUAUCAAUAAUUUCGUCUAAUUAAUGGUAAUCGAGUGAGUAAUCAUACCUAGGCACUUGAAAGUAACACGAUUUGAAUGGAGCCACGUCUACCGAAGAACUAGCAGGAAAGAAAGACGAACUGAUCGAGUUAUUGUUAGCCAGAGACGACACUGAAAUCUUAUCGAACUCUCCAGUCUCCCUGGAGAAAGCUGUCGUGGAGUCGCCGGCAGCUUUUGGAGACGCAAAGGGACUGUCGGGGAGGUUGUGCUCCAAACUACAUUCAAAUCAAUAAAGAAACUUGAUCAUUCAGAGCAAUAGAACAUGACACCAAAUAAAUAGAUGAAUUAGAGGUCACACAUCAACAUUUAAUAUGCAUUCAACUAACACACUUGAAUGCUAAUUUCAGGACAUUACUGGUAAUAAUGAGUUUCGAAUCAAGAUAAGAAACACAGAAAACAAGGAGAGGUCCAGUACCUUCCUUUCAAAUCACUUUCUUUGUUG
RNAcentral lists this long non-coding RNA (2794 nucleotides) under Olea europaea (common olive). RNAcentral's name for it is "long non-coding RNA (OEUR_LNC001131)". Lineage: Eukaryota; Viridiplantae; Streptophyta; Magnoliopsida; Lamiales; Oleaceae. The record is from RNAcentral.